This 3032-nucleotide ribosomal RNA is filed under the name Salmonella enterica subsp. enterica serovar Dessau. RNAcentral describes it as "23S ribosomal RNA". It matches the Rfam family "Bacterial large subunit ribosomal RNA". Lineage: Bacteria; Pseudomonadati; Pseudomonadota; Gammaproteobacteria; Enterobacterales; Enterobacteriaceae. The record is from RNAcentral.
GGGUUGUGAGGUUAAGCGACUAAGCGUACACGGUGGAUGCCCUGGCAGUCAGAGGCGAUGAAGGGCGUGCUAAUCUGCGAUAAGCGCCGGUAAGGUGAUAUGAACCGUUAUAACCGGCGAUACCCGAAUGGGGAAACCCAGUGUGAUUCGUCACACUAUCAUUAACUGAAUCCAUAGGUUAAUGAGGCGAACCGGGGGAACUGAAACAUCUAAGUACCCCGAGGAAAAGAAAUCAACCGAGAUUCCCCCAGUAGCGGCGAGCGAACGGGGAGGAGCCCAGAGCCUGAAUCAGCAUGUGUGUUAGUGGAAGCGUCUGGAAAGGCGCGCGAUACAGGGUGACAGCCCCGUACACAAAAGCGCAUGUGCUGUGAGCUCGAUGAGUAGGGCGGGACACGUGGUAUCCUGUCUGAAUAUGGGGGGACCAUCCUCCAAGGCUAAAUACUCCUGACUGACCGAUAGUGAACCAGUACCGUGAGGGAAAGGCGAAAAGAACCCCGGCGAGGGGAGUGAAAAAGAACCUGAAACCGUGUACGUACAAGCAGUGGGAGCCCCACCACUAAGCCAGUGGUGAACUCCACAUACGCAUCCUUUGCUGAGGAUACGGUUAACGGAGCGAAAGCGACGUUCAACCUCAAAAGAAGCAGAGGGGGCUUAGUGGUGGGGUGACUGCGUACCUUUUGUAUAAUGGGUCAGCGACUUAUAUUCUGUAGCAAGGUUAACCGUAUAGGGGAGCCGGAGGGAAACCGAGUCUUAAUUGGGCGUUAAGUUGCAGGGUAUAGACCCGAAACCCGGUGAUCUAGCCAUGGGCAGGUUGAAGGUUGGGUAACACUAACUGGAGGACCGAACCGACUAAUGUUGAAAAAUUAGCGGAUGACCUGUGGCUGGGGGUGAAAGGCCAAUCAAACCGGGAGAUAGCUGGUUCUCCCCGAAAGCUAUUUAGGUAGCGCCUCGUGAAUUCAUCUCCGGGGGUAGAGCACUGUUUCGGCUAGGGGGCCAUCCCGGCUUACCAACCCGAUGCAAACUGCGAAUACCGGAGAAUGUUAUCACGGGAGACACACACACGGCGGGUGCUAACGUCCGUCGUGAAGAGGGAAACAACCCAGACCGCCAGCUAAGGUCCCAAAGUCAUGGUUAAGUGGGAAACGAUGUGGGAAGGCCCAGACAGCCAGGAUGUUGGCUUAGAAGCAGCCAUCAUUUAAAGAAAGCGUAAUAGCUCACUGGUCGAGUCGGCCUGCGCGGAAGAUGUAACGGGGCUAAACCAUGCACCGAAGCUGCGGCAGCGACGCUGAUGCGUUGUUGGGUAGGGGAGCGUUCUGUAAGCCUGUGAAGGUGGCCUGUGAGGGUUGCUGGAGGUAUCAGAAGUGCGAAUGCUGACAUAAGUAACGAUAAAGCGGGUGAAAAGCCCGCUCGCCGGAAGACCAAGGGUUCCUGUCCAACGUUAAUCGGGGCAGGGUGAGUCGACCCCUAAGGCGAGGCCGAAAGGCGUAGUCGAUGGGAAACGGGUUAAUAUUCCCGUACUUGGUGUUACUGCGAAGGGGGGACGGAGAAGGCUAUGUUGGCCGGGCGACGGUUGUCCCGGUUUAAGCGUGUAGGUGUGUGUUCCAGGUAAAUCCGGUUCACUUUAACACUGAGGCGUGACGACGAGGCACUACGGUGCUGAAGCAACAAAUGCCCUGCUUCCAGGAAAAGCCUCUAAGCAUCAGGUAACAUCAAAUCGUACCCCAAACCGACACAGGUGGUCAGGUAGAGAAUACCAAGGCGCUUGAGAGAACUCGGGUGAAGGAACUAGGCAAAAUGGUGCCGUAACUUCGGGAGAAGGCACGCUGACACGUAGGUGAAGUGAUUUACUCAUGGAGCUGAAGUCAGUCGAAGAUACCAGCUGGCUGCAACUGUUUAUUAAAAACACAGCACUGUGCAAACACGAAAGUGGACGUAUACGGUGUGACGCCUGCCCGGUGCCGGAAGGUUAAUUGAUGGGGUCAGCGCAAGCGAAGCUCCUGAUCGAAGCCCCGGUAAACGGCGGCCGUAACUAUAACGGUCCUAAGGUAGCGAAAUUCCUUGUCGGGUAAGUUCCGACCUGCACGAAUGGCGUAAUGAUGGCCAGGCUGUCUCCACCCGAGACUCAGUGAAAUUGAACUCGCUGUGAAGAUGCAGUGUACCCGCGGCAAGACGGAAAGACCCCGUGAACCUUUACUAUAGCUUGACACUGAACAUUGAGCCUUGAUGUGUAGGAUAGGUGGGAGGCUUUGAAGUGUGGACGCCAGUCUGCAUGGAGCCGACCUUGAAAUACCACCCUUUAAUGUUUGAUGUUCUAACGUGGACCCGUGAUCCGGGUUGCGGACAGUGUCUGGUGGGUAGUUUGACUGGGGCGGUCUCCUCCUAAAGAGUAACGGAGGAGCACGAAGGUUGGCUAAUCCUGGUCGGACAUCAGGAGGUUAGUGCAAUGGCAUAAGCCAGCUUGACUGCGAGCGUGACGGCGCGAGCAGGUGCGAAAGCAGGUCAUAGUGAUCCGGUGGUUCUGAAUGGAAGGGCCAUCGCUCAACGGAUAAAAGGUACUCCGGGGAUAACAGGCUGAUACCGCCCAAGAGUUCAUAUCGACGGCGGUGUUUGGCACCUCGAUGUCGGCUCAUCACAUCCUGGGGCUGAAGUAGGUCCCAAGGGUAUGGCUGUUCGCCAUUUAAAGUGGUACGCGAGCUGGGUUUAGAACGUCGUGAGACAGUUCGGUCCCUAUCUGCCGUGGGCGCUGGAGAACUGAGGGGGGCUGCUCCUAGUACGAGAGGACCGGAGUGGACGCAUCACUGGUGUUCGGGUUGUCAUGCCAAUGGCACUGCCCGGUAGCUAAAUGCGGAAGAGAUAAGUGCUGAAAGCAUCUAAGCACGAAACUUGCCCCGAGAUGAGUUCUCCCUGAGACUUAGAGUCUCCUGAAGGAACGUUGAAGACGACGACGUUGAUAGGCCGGGUGUGUAAGCGCAGCGAUGCGUUGAGCUAACCGGUACUAAUGAACCGUGAGGCUUAACCUUACAACGCCGAAG